Long non-coding RNA from Ictidomys tridecemlineatus (thirteen-lined ground squirrel), 2636 nucleotides. Lineage: Eukaryota; Metazoa; Chordata; Mammalia; Rodentia; Sciuridae. The record is from Ensembl.
AUGAGGUGGUUCAAGAAAGAACAGCCCAGCACCCACGUCGCGGGUGCCUGGCCGGCGAGCUUCCUGGCUUGUGUGACGUCAUUAAUGGAGGUUAGUGACAGUCAUCAACCCACUAGUUGGUCGAUUCCAGCGCAAUGGAAACUGGACCCACCUCGACUCUGGCUUGGAGCGGAGAUUCCGAAUCUUGCGAGUGCGCGGGGUCCGCGGUUUGCGCAUGAAGAUGUCCAGCCUGGGCUCUCGCACGCGGGCUUGGUUUUCAGGUCAGUGAAUAAUCCCUGGGUGAGUGGGGGUCCCCUCUGGAACUCCACGUGGUCCUCGAUGGAUGCUACGUGGCCUCGUGGCCGUCAGUGGGGCCUGUGUGGACCCCUGGGCCCCGCGGCCGUAGGAGGGUGCAGUGACGCGGCCUCACGCCUUCUUUUUCAGAUCGGGAGCGACACUUCACAGACGGUGGAGGAAAACGUCCCAGUCCUUAAGGCCAAGGUGACAGAAAUGCGUGGCAUCUGUGCCAAAGUGGACGGCUGGAGGCAUCACCCGCGCCAGGGCCCCCUGUGUCCGGGCCCGUGCUCUACAGGACUGAGGACUAUGUUCCCGUGGACGCCAAUCCCGCUGAGCCUGUCACAGUCCCCCCGAGGGGACAGCUUCCUGCUGUUGUCUGAGUUCUCCAGGUUCUGAAAUCCUCAGGGCCCAGCAGACACCGCACCCUCACACUGCAGAGCAGAGUCAGAAGGUCAAGGAAGUGUGAAUCUGACAAGAUGGCCCUGGACAAGCAGGAACGAGUUGAGUGGUGCUAAUGUUUGGGAAAUCUCUGGAAUUAAAAGAGAGAGGUGGGUCCCGUGUUUCAGGAAGAGUCAACAUUUUUCUCUUGGGACCACCUUUAUGGAAGUAUAACACACAUUAUAGAAAGGGGCCCCUGUGCCAGUCACUGUGGUGCAGGCCUGUACUCUCAGCGACUUGGGAGGCUGAGGCAGGAGGAUCACAAGUUCAAGGCCAGCCUCAGCAAAUUAUCAAGACCCAGUCUCUAAACAGUCUCUAAAUAAAAAAUAAAAAGGGCUGGGGAUGUGGCUCAGUGGUUAAGCAUCUCUGGGUUACACACACCCACACCCACACCCACACACACACGAGAAAAAAGAACAAGGCACCUGAGUGUGGAGCACUAGCUGCCCACACGUGGAACACAUUUGUGCAGCCCAACCAAUGCUGCCGGCACCCAGAGCCCCCUGGGGCCCCUUCCUGACAGUGCUCCCUGCAGGCUGGGUGUCCUCCUGUGCUGGCCUGGAGGCUGGAGGGCACAUGCACCCAGCACGUUGGCUUUGUCACUGGACCUGGAUCUGCAGGACUGUCCCUGCUGCCCCGGGGGGCUGCAGUGGCCAUGUUGUAUGCACUCUCCGCACCCCAUCUGCCCAGGGACAGUGGAUUGGAUGGGAAGCUAAUGUUGCAGACAAGCAGUUAGACACCACUCUCGAAGGCCAAGUACAGACACCAGCCUCUUUCCCCUCCAGGGCCUGACCCAGGGACCAGGGAAGGCUGGAAGGGAUGCCAUGUGACCGAGCCAUAGCAGUAGAAGGUCCUAAAACAGAGACGGGCAGGGCCUGGCAGGAGGGGAUCCUGCGGGCGGCGCCUUGCUCUGUGUGCAGCUUAGCGGUUGGCCCGAGCCUGGCUGCUUCCUUCCUGGCCACAGCCUCCUCUUCGGGAAGACCCACGAUAAUGGCUCCUGCCUGCUGGCUGUGUGUGCUCGCCCAGCGCCAGCAAGCGUGGCUGUUGUGGUCAGUGGGCGCGGCAGGGAGGACUGUGUGCUGUUUCUCAGGUGAGCAGUGGCACCCAAGGGUCUCAACAGCGAGUGGCUUAGGGACUGCCCUUAAAGGUCACAGAACAAGUCGUGGAAGGGUGAGGUGCUAGGAUGCACCAGUUUUCCCGGAGUCUCCGAGGACUCUCCCCAGUCAUCCAGGAGGGUGAGGUCACGUGAGAACGUCUGUGUGGAAGAGGCCACCAAUGACCUGAGGUGGCUGUUCCAGUUUCCUGGUGUUGAAUGGCAAAAGGACGCCUGGGGAGAGGGAAGCCAGGACAUGGAGCCCGCCAGGAAUCCCAGCCCAGUCCCUCCAGCUCCAGGGGCCCUGGCCUGGCGCAGGCCCCUGGUGUGUCCACUGUCAAGUGAGUGGAGUCCUUGACUGCCCACUUCCACAGGCCCCCUCCCAGAGCAAGGGCCGCUGCAGCCCGGGACAGGUGGCUUUGUUUGUGGCUCUUCCUGCACAAGAUCACCAGUAGAAAGGUCACUGCAGAUUUUCACAAGAGCAAGGCUCCUGGGUCAGCCACCUUUCCACCUUCCUAGGGUGUGGACUUCAUGUCCACCCAAGUAAGAGGUGUCCGGAAGGCCGCUCACAGGGUCGGAUCCGGCGGACAGAAACGUGGGGUUGGCUCUGAACUGUUUUAGAGUGUUUUUCUGCUGGGACAACUGGAUAACCAUCUGGAAAAAAUAAAGUGAGCUCCACACCUUACUCAGCACGGCUGGCACAGUUCCAGAAUCCCAAAUGGAUCCAGGAGCUGAAUGUAUAAAAGGCAUCUAAUUAGGAAGCAGGCAGAUACACUGGAGAGGGGACAAAACCCAGAAGCCAUAAAGGAGAAAAUCUUAAUUAUACAUA